UGGGGAAUAUUGGACAAUGGGCGAAAGCCUGAUCCAGCCAUGCCGCGUGUGUGAAGAAGGCCUUAUGGUUGUAAAGCACUUUAAGCGAGGAGGAGGGUACUGGUAUUAAUACUACCAGCUACUGGACGUUACUCGCAGAAUAAGCACCGUCUAACUCUGUGCCAGCAGCCGCGGUAAUACAGAGGGUGCGAGCGUUAAUCGGAUUUACUGGGCGUAAAGCGUGCGUAGGCGGCUAAUUGAGUCGGAUGUGAAAUCCCCGAGCUUAACUUGGGAAUUGCAUUCGAUACUGGUUAGCUAGAGUGUGGGAGAGGAUGGUAGAAUUCCAGGUGUAGCGGUGAAAUGCGUAGAGAUCUGGAGGAAUACCGAUGGCGAAGGCAGCCAUCUGGCCUAACACUGACGCUGAGGUACGAAAGCAUGGGGAGCAAACAGG
RNAcentral lists this ribosomal RNA (430 nucleotides) under Pseudomonadota bacterium. RNAcentral's name for it is "Proteobacteria bacterium partial 16S ribosomal RNA". It matches the Rfam family "Bacterial small subunit ribosomal RNA", at positions 355 to 776 of the family's 1533-position model. The record is from RNAcentral. Lineage: Bacteria; Pseudomonadati; Pseudomonadota.